CGCUACGGCCAUACCAGCCUGGGUACGCCCGAUCUCGUCUGAUCUCGGAAGCGAAGCAGGGUCGGGCCUGGUUAGUACUUGGAUGGGAGACCGCCUGGGAAUACCAGGUGCUGUAAGGA
This 119-nucleotide ribosomal RNA is filed under the name Salmo salar (Atlantic salmon). Lineage: Eukaryota; Metazoa; Chordata; Actinopteri; Salmoniformes; Salmonidae. The record is from RNAcentral.